Vicia faba (fava bean) is the source of this 273-nucleotide non-coding RNA. The record is from the annotation of a GenBank genome assembly. Lineage: Eukaryota; Viridiplantae; Streptophyta; Magnoliopsida; Fabales; Fabaceae.
AUGGAGUUAGGAGGAUCCGAAAUGGUAUUGGGCAUGGACUGGCUAGCUAGUCUUGGCACUAUUGAAGCCAACUUUGGCAAUAUGUGUUUGCAAAUUACUUUAUCCAACCAAGGUGAUCAUAUUUUGUGCACAAUAUGGCGGAGAACAACAAUGAAAAAGUCAGUUCGUAACAACUCGGUGAGUGGGAGAAAAUUCUGGAAGAGUAUGAGGACAUUUUCAACAUGCCAUUUGGAUUACCACCUAUUAGGGAUCAUCAUCACGCUACUGUGUUGA